Molecule: ribosomal RNA, 566 nt
Filed under: uncultured archaeon
Lineage: Archaea
Description: bacterial SSU rRNA
Rfam family: Archaeal small subunit ribosomal RNA
Source: RNAcentral
CGCGAAUCGCCCUUCGGGGUGCGCAGGCGCGAAAACUUUACAAUGCGGGAAACCGUGAUAAGGGGACACCGAGUGCCAGCAUCAUAUGCUGGCUGUCCAGGUGUGUAAAAUACACCUGUUAGCAAGGGCCGGGCAAGACCGGUGCCAGCCGCCGCGGUAACACCGGCGGCCCGAGUGGUGAUCGUGAUUAUUGGGUCUAAAGGGUCCGUAGCCGGUUUGGUCAGUCCUCCGGGAAAUCUGACGGCUUAACCGUUAGGCUUUCGGGGGAUACUGCCAGGCUUGGAACCGGGAGAGGUAAGAGGUACUACAGGGGUAGGAGUGAAAUCUUGUAAUCCCUGUGAGACCACCUGUGGCGAAGGCGUCUUACCAGAACGGGUUCGACGGUGAGGGACGAAAGCUGGGGGCACGAACCGGAUUAGAUACCCGGGUAGUCCCAGCCGUAAACGAUGCUCGCUAGGUGUCAGGCAUGGCGCGACCGUGUCUGGUGCCGCAGGGAAGCCGUGAAGCGAGCCACCUGGGAAGUACGGCCGCAAGGCUGAAACUUAAAGGAAUUGGCGGGGGAGCAC